This is a long non-coding RNA of Astatotilapia calliptera (eastern happy), 3317 nucleotides long. The record is from Ensembl. Lineage: Eukaryota; Metazoa; Chordata; Actinopteri; Cichliformes; Cichlidae.
GCGGAAUCAGUCCUUGAAAGAUCUCCUCAGACUGCCGAUUCUGAGGCUUUUUGGUGUCUUAGCCCUUUGUCUCCCGGUUGUCCUUCUGAGAGCUGUCCCACUUUCAGCCCUGGCUCUGUGUGGCAUCCAUCUUUCACACGAGUGACAACGCCCCCCCACCCCCACUCUGCACUGCCACUCUUAUUUUCAUCGUCUAUUGUUCCAGCCCGGCACAGCAAGUCCCACAAUUCUAUCAUCUCCACAAGCUCAAUACUUGCCUGCACUGCUGAUAAGUAGCCAAACACUGAGGUGAUGAAUAAAUCACAAUGAAGCACAUACACAUGUGCUAAAACCAGGAGGAGGCCAAUUUAUUUGGUGUAUUUUUGGCUAGUUUGAAGAAUUCUAGGACACAUUUUGUGCACAGCUUCAUGCUGUAUUAUUUGGUUAAGGUGCACACACCACUACUUAUGGUAAUGAUUGAUACCUCACAUUCACACCAUUUCACAAUAUUGUCAGUGUGACAUGUGUGACAAUUGUGUGACUAACAAUGUUUCAAGCUUUGUAUUUGAAAUUAUCUCUCAAAAAAAUUGGUUCUCUAAUUCUUUAAUUUUACUCAAGAAUUAAUGCUCUAAUAUCAAAUUGUUGUUCCAUAUCUAAGCUUUCCCCCCUUUUUUUGAAAUGAGGACCAACAGCAGGGAAAAAAAAAAAAAAAGAAAAAGAAAAAAAAAAAAAAAAAAAAAGAGUUCUCGCAUUUUUUCAAGAGGUCCAUAAACGCUAUAACGAUAAUUAACUUUCUUUGCAGCAACGUCCGAUAUUAUGUCACUCUGUUUCUCCAUUGAAGAGAGUGUUUAAGGUUUUGUGCAAAAAGGAUAACAUCUAAGCAUCAAGUAUAAUAAGUACAGCGCCUGUACCAAAACAAAAAUAUAUAUACUUCAAAGUCACUAUCCACUAUUUGUUGUCUGCAAUUUUCUGUUUUCUUUCAGUUCUGUACCCCCUGCCCUGCAUGUCAGAUUGCUCCUUGUUCUCACACACUAAAUGUUUUCAGCUCUUUCUGGAAAUCACUGAAGGAUGGGGAGUGAAUAUAGAGAUGUUUUUUUUUCUUUUUUUGUUAAAUCGUUGCUUUGAUCAUUACCAACAUCAAACCAAACUAAAUAAAAACAAAAAAAAAAAAACCUGUUUUUCGGUGUAACAUUUUUGAAGAGUUACUUCAAAUUUUAAAUGAGCUCUGUGGUGAUAUCGACUGUGUACAUAAGUACAUAAUAAAAAGUACAUAAUAAAAAAAGAAAUCCGAAAAAUCCCCGUCUAAUCUCUAUAGAAAUGCAUGUACAUGAUGGUCAUAGCAUUCAGGGUCUGAAAAGUAAAGCCAUGGGGUAAUAACUUAAACUCUUUGAUGUGGGGGGGGGGCUGUGCAUACAAGUUUACGUCAAUACCAUUUUUAUAUAAAUUUCCUUGAAUACUCACAUAUUUCUACAUACUAAGCUUCUCUAUAUUUACCAAAUCACUAGCACAGGAGUGAACAGGAUCGUUCACCUCUGUCAACUUUAGGCUUCAAAAACAGCUCACUGCUUUAAACCUACUUUAUUUCAGAGAGAAAUCCUUUGCCAAAACCAUCCUCGUGGCAGUUUGGAAGUUGUGCAGGUCUUCUCAGACUAAAGUCGCCCAUUUAUUUAACUGUUGCUUUGGGAUCUUUAAAUUUAACAAACCGGUUUACUGCUUUAAACUGACGGUAAUUGAUUUGGUCAGACAGGAAUUCUCCUCUAAACCCCAUUCUAAAAACAGCAGCUUUAAGGUUGAAAUAAAAAUGCAAAAAUAAUCACAUCAGCAAUCAUAACAUUCAUGGUGGAAACAAAACUAUCAAAGAGAAACUUCCACAGACAUGGCCACUUUGAUAUAUUGAGAAAUAUAUUUAAAUUUAAAUACAUCUUCAUAAAAAAAAUUAAAAAAAAUGAAAUCAAUCACUUUCGACAUCUUGUCAUAAGACGGUAACUGACCUGACAGAGAAAGUUCACUGGGCGCCACAGAUUCUUGUAGUUAGAUCUGCAGCACCCCCGAGGGCUCCGACACCUCCAACAAUUCAGACCUUACACUGUCACCAUGGUUACUACUGCCUGACACCUCUGGCAAUGGCAAAUAGACUGACCACAGUGGAACAUUUGAGACGACAUUGGCAGAGCCCGUGUGCAUCGUCACACAAUAAAGACCUCAGGGCAUGAGGGAACACUGAGAGCCAGUUACACUUAGAGAAAGCAAAGAACUUCAUGGACAAACACGAGGGUGAAAAGGGGGACGGCACUGGCAGGGUGUCCAUCUCCAGCUGGCGUAACGUGGAAUGUUAAUUAGGCCUGCAAUAACAAGACACCACCCUCUUAAAUGUCACAUCCUCGUGAGGAGAGCAGGGGAUGGCGAACUUCUGUCAGGCAAAGGGUGUCAUGCUUUGUUUGCUUUUUCAGCAUGGAUUUCUCUUCUGUUGCCUCUACCCCAAGCAUUUUCUCUUAUCAUUCUCCUGCUCCUGCCCUUCUGCUAUGCUGUUUACUCUGUGAUGAAUGGCUUCAUUUCAGGUUGAGCUCUUUUUAAAAAAAAAAAAAAAAGCUGGAAUAGAUUACAAUCAGUGCAAUUGUGCAGAAAUAAGACUCAUCUCACUGAAAAAGAAAAAGAAAUAAUUGAGGAGGGGGCAGCAGAGGAUGGAAAAUAUAGAGUGCAACUGCACUUCACACUAAUGCAGAAAUUGUCAGACCCAUCUCUGAUGAAGGUGUUUUGGACUGCAGGGGCUCUUACAAAAAAGGUCUUGAUAAGAGCGCUCAGGGGCCAGGAGAGGAUGUAAACAAAUAUCGUGGUGGUUUGUAAUGAGACAUGACACAGUGAGAAUACUGUGGCCUUUCAAAUGGCAAGCCUCGUUAUCAGUCUGGUUUCACAGCCUCAGAGGGACAAAGAUUCUGAUAAUGGGUCAUCAGUAACGAAGGGUUGGACAGAAGACCUGCUGAAGCUUAAUAUGAGAGGUUGCUGAACUACUGAGCUAAUGUGGGAGAGACACUUUACACAGUGUGUGCGGUUUUACCAUUGACAUUUAAGUCUGUGGUUUUCCCGCUCAAUCAGUUACUACAUUUACUGGUACAGCAGCACACAGCUUCUUACACUAGCUAUGUCCUUGUCCAACGUAUCCGUCCUGGAAGCCAAAAUUUGCAGAACAGCUCAUUCUCCCGAAUCAAAAGCAGCAAUGGAUUGAUUUUGUGAAGAGUCGUAUUGAUGUGUGUUGUGUGUUAGCACCACAAAAAACUUCUACCACUGUGACUUUUUAUGUUUUGGGGUUUUUCUACAGAUUUUAUUUUUGGGAAUUUUAG